Priapulus caudatus is the source of this 365-nucleotide long non-coding RNA. RefSeq lists it as uncharacterized. The record is from RefSeq and is a predicted model, not a curated record. Lineage: Eukaryota; Metazoa; Priapulida; Priapulimorpha; Priapulimorphida; Priapulidae. The transcript has 3 exons.
CAUCUCGCUGGAGUCGGAUCGAGAAUUCUGGCCAAACAGCAACUGGGUGAAGACACCGCCAAGCAACAACGUCACAUACUGGGGAUACUUCGAGUACUACAACUGGCUGGAUGAGAAGAAGAUCGAGCGGUUCCAGCACUAUACGAAGUACGGCGAGUUCUGGUUCGUCUGCGAAACACGCGGACGCAACAAGGUGAAGAAAGCUGACGAGGUGCGAGCUUACUACCCGGUCAUCACGACGCCUCUUGCUAAACCUUACGACGUCUGCAACCCGACGACGACGACCGAUGCCAUAGAAACGACGACGCCCGUCGACGUCGUGCCGACCGACGACACGCCCGCCUUCGCCACCGUCGCCUCGCCGU